UGUUACCAUAAAGCACCAAUGCUGCAGCAAGCAAAGGCUUUAGCAGCUCAGCCAGCUGCUUGUGGCUGGAAAGCCAGACAGGAUGUUUGUGACUGUUGCCAUGGGAACAAAGGGGCAGUCCAUUCUGUACUGAGCACCGGAUGUUAGCUCAGUGUGUGUGUGUCAUAUGACCCGUACUGGAUGUACUUGGGAGGAGUUUCUUCUUGCUGUUGUUGAGUGCAGACAUGAUUCUCUGUACUGAUGUAAAAGGCAGAAAUAAAUGAUGUAAAUAGUUUUCUGUCUGCUUCUUUCCCUCCCUGGGGACACCAAAGGGGAGAGAGGAAGAACGGUGUGUUCCUCUCAUACAUCUGAGAAGAAUCGCCGGACCUCGCCUGCUUAUCAGCAGAGUGGAGACGCGGGGAGGUCGACAGGAAUAUCUGCCGGUGCCUACGCUGUGGCACAUUCCUCUGACCCAGGCAGAAUUCCAACAUUGGCAGCCUUCGGAUGGUUCCGAUUCAUCGGACAUCUGCAUGAGAGGCUGGUGGAUUGUCCUCCUCUGCUCCAAGGAGGAAGAGAAAAGCGUCUGAAAGAAGCCAGAGGCUCCACAGACAGCUGGUGGAAAGAAGAGGUGUUUUCCCAAGCAACGGAGCUCAAGGUAUGCUGCAUUUCGGGCUAAAAGUGUGAACGCAGGAAGAUUAAUUCCCUGGUUCACGGAGCUGCGUUUCAAAGAAAACAAGAGCUCCGGAAGAAGAGGCCUGCAGCUUGAAGGCUGAAGCCUGCAUUCCACAAAUUUUUGUGGUAGAUAAGAUGUCCUAUUGAAAUGCAUUGUUGCUAGGUAACGGUCCUGGAAAGUUACUGGCAAAGGGGCUGGACUCUGAGAGUGAGCCUGGGAAAGCGAAACAAAAUCAGAGAAUGUUUUGGCUACAAGUUUAUGUGCUCUUGGAAGGGACUUUUCAAUAGCAGCCUGAGUUUAGCUGCCCGGUGCAAAAGCACAAACAACUUGCAGUUUGCCUGCGUGAGAAAGAAAAAACUGCUGUUGGAUUUUGCAGCUUGUUUGGAGGUGAGAGAGGCUUGGCUUCAAGAUGGAUGCCAAGAAAGGGGAGGUUUGCCUUGCCCACCUCCCUUAACCAAUGACAAUUAUUCAUCUUGGUCUGUAAAGAUGAAGGCCCUGCUGCAGAAUCAGAGGCUUUUUGAUGUAAUUGAAAACCCCAUCCCUGCAGCACCAACCAGAGGUUGGGAGUCACAGAAUGUAAGGGCCAGGACUGCUAUAAUUCUGUGUGUCUCAGAUGAUCAGUUGGUGCAUGUUCAGCAUUUAGAAAAUGCGAAAGAGGUAUGGGACACGCUGCGUACAACGCAUCAGAGAGAUGCUGGUUCUUCAGCGUUGCUGUAUUUUGAGAAAUUGACCAAUCUGAGACUUGCGCCUGAUGGAGAUGUUCAAGCGCACCUGACAGAAAUGAAGUUUCUGCGUCAACAGAUGGUGGAACGCAAUUUCCGUCUUCAGGAGGAAGUGUUUUGCUUCAUGAUGAUAAACAGCCUUAGCCGCACCUACAAGGUUGUUGCCAGUCAGCUUGGUUCCCUACCGGCCGCGCAGCUGACCGCGGAGAGAGUUUGUGCUGUGGUCCUGAAUGAACACGACAGACUUGCUGCACUGGAAGAAAAAGACAGGGGGAGGGAAGAACAGAGUUCUAAUUCCCCCACUGCUGAUGCUACUGGAGAGCAUGGUGUAGCAUUGAAUGCUGUCCGAUGCUACAAUUGUGGGCAGACUGGGCAUCUACAGCGAAACUGUAAGAAGCCGCGCCAGUCAAGAGGAGCAAAGAGCAGCUCUACGAAGCCUCAGGCGUCAGGCAAAAGCCGUUCCAAGUGCCAGGUGAAACCUGCAAAGGCUAUGAUGGCGAAAGGAACCACGCCAGAUGUUGGCAACUCGUUCAUAAUUGACACGGGCGCAACGGUUCACAUGUGCCCGCACAGAGGACUGUUUUCGACGUUGAAGAAGCAAAGCUUCACUGUGAAACAGGCCAACGGUCAGGAGUUGGAAGCAACUGGAAUUGGGACUGUGUAUCUUGAGAGUCUGAACUUGACUAUAAGUGAUGUUUACCUGGUUCCAGAACUGAGAUUUAAUCUGCUGAGCGUGUCGCAGAUUGCAAAGAAAGGACUGAAACUGUCCUAUGAUGCUAAAAGCUGCAAGAUCUACAAAGAUGGAGAACUGUUUCUUACUGCCAAAGAGAAAGAUGGACUGUAUUUGUUGACUUUUGAUCAAAGUGAUUACAUGAAAUGUAAUUCUGAUGUUUCUAACGAAAUCUCUCUUGCAGGAGUGACCAGUGUGAGCACCAGGAAGGUGACUAAGACCAAGAAGGUCGACAGAGCAUUUCAGCGGGUGUAUGCUGAUGUGAUUGGUCCUCUAGAACCAUCUAGAGGCGGUGCACGAUUUUACCUUGUGUGUGUGGAUUGUUUCACUAAUUAUUCUUGGGUUUAUAUGAUGGAGAAACCGCAAGAAACUUUAGAAAAGUUUCAGGAGUUUUGUGACAAGGUUAAAAGUAUGCAUGAUGCUAACAUUGAUUGUCUUUUCACAGAUGAGAAGCAAAUUUUUCUGUUGCAGAAGUUUCAGAAGUUCCUGGAUGGAAAAGGGAUAGACCACAAAGUGGCAGUUUCGCAAGAAGCAUGGAACAGGGGGGUCUGUGUAAAAGUGAACAAAGAAUUGCAAAAGGGGAUGAAUGCGCAAUUGCUGAGUUCACAUUUGCCACAUGAAUAUUGGGCUGAAUCGCUAGCGUCCUAUCUUCAUGUGUGGUUGAGAAAAGUCUCAACAGGGUUGGGAUGUUCUCCUUUGAGAAGCUGUUCAAUAGAAAACCUUCUGUUGCCUAUUUUAAGGUUUUCGGGUCUCAUGUGAGAACAGAAGCUCCAGGUGGAGUAAAGAAUGCCAGAGGCAUUUUCGUAGGUUAUGAAAAAGGUCUCUACAGAGUAAUUUUGUCUGAAUCUGGUCAGGUGAUUCUCACAAAGUUCCUAGAGAGUGCUCCAAAGCAAGAGCGGAUAGUACAGACAUUUCCCACAGGAAACGAUUCUGAUGAUGAUGAUGAUGAUGAGUUUGAUCUUAUUGAGUUCAGUAGUACUGAUGAUGACAGCGAUAGCUCAGACAGCUCAGUUGUCACAGUCAUUGAGAGGAAAUCUCACAUAAUGACUAGACCCUCAGAAGAGGAGGAUGAACCACUGAUCGCUACUGGUUCUCAACAGAGUCCAAAGAUUGAACCAGUGAGCACAGAAGGUCAGAACCUCAUACGCAGGUCUGAAAGAGCAACGAAGGGUGUACCACCCAAGAGGUAUUCAAAGGAGUUUGCUAACCUUGCAUAUGUUGCUAUUGUAAACGACCAAGGACAGCUUGAAGCUGUGUCUGAGUCAGAGACAAAGGCACAACAGAGAGUUGUUAACCAAGGUAAUGCGAAGUCACACAACCAGAGAGGUACAUUGGUUAAACCAGUGGCGGGUAGUUCCAAGGGUGGAACUGAAACAACAGGGGAAUGUUAUAAAUAUAACAACUGUUUGUUUUCUUCUCUGGAUGACGCUUUGCUCGCAGCACACAUUGAUACUUUAGGGGGAGUAUGUUACCAUAAAGCACCAAUGCUGCAGCAAGCAAAGGCUUUAGCAGCUCAGCCAGCUGCUUGUGGCUGGAAAGCCAGACAGGAUGUUUGUGACUGUUGCCAUGGGAACAAAGGGGCAGUCCAUUCUGUACUGAGCACCGGAUGUUAGCUCAGUGUGUGUGUGUCAUAUGACCCGUACUGGAUGUACUUGGGAGGAGUUUCUUCUUGCUGUUGUUGAGUGCAGACAUGAUUCUCUGUACUGAUGUAAGAGGCAGAAAUAAAUGAUGUAAAUAGUUUUCUGUCUGCUUCUUUCCCCUCCCUGGGGACACCAAAGGGGAGAGAGGAAGAACGGUGUGUUCCUCUCAUACAUCUGAGAAGAAUCGCCGGACCUCGCCUGCUUAUCAGCAGAGUGGAGACGCGGGGAGGUCGACAGGAAUAUCUGCCGGUGCCUACGCUGUGGCACAUUCCUCUGACCCAGGCAGAAUUCCAACAAUUCUUCCUCCAUUGUUGGAGGCAGUUUGCCUGAACGCCAGCUGCUGGGAAUCACAGGUGGGAAGAGUAACCCUGGUCCUGCUUGCAGGCUUCCCAUUAUCCUAUAGGCACCUGGUUGACCACUCUGGGAGCAGAGUGAUGGAUUAGAUGGGCUAUUGGCCUGAUCCCGAUGAGCUAUUCUUGUGUAUUCUUGUAGUGUGUGCUGUUUUGGCUGCUCCAGAAGGGUAGACAGCAGGGGAAGUGUUAAGUUGUGGGUGAACAUAUCAGACAACACAGCGAUUCUUCAAACAGCUCUUGUUUAUUCACAGGCCAGAACAGAACUGAACUGAAGGGUUCAGCCAGCCUGCUUAUAUAGAGCUCCACUAGAAUGCAACAGUAACCAUUUUCUGUAACUAUCCAAUCACUGAACGUCACUUUCAAUCCCUUAUUUGCAUAUGUGGACCUGAACUAUCUACAGCAUCCCCCUGCUGGCCCAGGGUGAGAACUUCAGUACAUAACAGAAAGGUGCACAACAGGAGAACUAAAAUUGCCAUCAUCACUGUCAGGGAAUGUAAAGUAUUUGGAUGGGUUUUAGUCAGGAGGGGGGUGGGAAUCAACUGGAUUGGGGAAUAAGGGAGGCAUUUUUGAUGAGGAAUAAUCAGGGCAUGUGGAUUUGCCAAUAUCUUGAUCUACUUGAUCCUUUUUAUUUUGUAGGUUUGAGCUUCAUCUUUAAAGGCCAUCAUUUCCUAGUUUUCUCUAAUCCUCAGUCAGGGCAGGAAAUCUUCAAUGUGCUGAAGAGAAAAGUCCCGGCAUCAUCGCCAACCUUGUUAAAUAACUACAAGGAAUCUAAAUUGUAGUCCAACCCACCAGCUGGCUAGAGAAGCAGAUUUGGCAACCCGGCUCACUGUCUCAUUCACUACAGGGGUGUCAAAAUCUCUGGAACAAACCCUCUAAAUUUUACAUAUGCCGCUUAUUUUAAACACUUAAUUAUUAUGAAGCAUCAAGGAUAAUUAUGAAAGUGAAUCAAACUAGUGCAGUCAAGAAUCAUUAAUUAUAGGGUUUGCAAAUAAUCUCAUACAAGCGUGAAUUUUUUGAAUUGGAUAUAGUUUACAUUGGAGUUAUGAAAUAUAAUCAAAUAAUAAUCAUUAUGUUAAGAAUCUUUGAAAUGCCAUCAACUUUCCUGUAUAUAAUUUACUACUUCUCCUCUUCCAAUUUAUGUAUGUGCACACAUGAACAAAUACUCCUUUAAAAAUCAUGUGCACAGUAUUUAGGAUUGGGAUGGAGGAGGCCAGGCCCAAAUUAACACAAAAUGAUUUUUUUAUAGCACAGGAACAACUUAUGAUUUCCACAUAAGCACAAAUUUUUCUGUGUUCCAGUAUUUUUUUUAAGUGCCUAUUUUUCAUGUAUUUAUCUUCUUGUUGCUUAAUUGAUUAUUUCCUUUGGUAGGUCAAUUUAGUUAACAAAACAAUUUCCCAGGACUUCUGUAUGCACUCUCAAUGUAUGGGGUCUUUCUUCUUUCCAUAAUUGUGCGAUAUACGGUAUAUCUUAGCUCUCAGAAGUAAGCUGGAAACAGGCUGCAAGUCCAUGUCUCUCACUUUUGUUUUUAGUAAACAAAAAAGUAAAUAUUUUGGAUUUCUUGAUAUGGUCUGUUCUUUGUACUGUGUUAAGGACUUUGCCCCAGAAAUUUCUUAUUUUGAUGCACCUCCAGAAAAUGUGAUAUAAUCUGCUUUUAAUUUCCUGCAUCUCCAACAAAAUAGGUUCAGCUGAUAUAUCUUAUUUAAUUUAUGAGGAGUGAAAUACCUUUCAUAUAUGGAUGGGGGGGGGGAAUCUUUCAGAUUAGCACUUGUAAGUGUUCUCAGAACUGAUUUGAAUAACCAGGACUGUGAUAUAGACAGAUUGUAAUUUGACAGAUCACAAUGAUAUUCUGCAAUUUAUGAACGAUACAGUGCAGUGAGAAUUGCACAGUCCUGCUAUCUGUUAUGCAACAAAUCAGUAAAUUCUAAUCCAUUUAUGGCCCUAGAUUAAAUUCCCUGGGAUGCAUUAUUACACAGCUCUGCUCAGUGCUUGGCAAAUCACUAGAGGGCACUAUUGUUUUCUUUUACACCAGUUUAAAAAGUUUGCUGUUUUUAACCCAGAGGAACAAGAGUUUUCAUUUACCGUAUGUACAAGUUAGAAACAUACAGUAUUGAAGUCAGUGUGGGGAAAGGCAUGCUGGUGUAACAGAGACCUACAGCAUUUGAUAUUCUCUAUUGAAGGUGUAAGACACAUGUAGGAAAUAGAGAGAUUGAGGCUGUAACCUUGUAAAAUUUAAAGGUAAAGAUAAAGGACCCCUGACAGUUAAGUCCAGUCGCGAACAACUCUGGGUUGCGGUGCUCAUCUUGCUUUACUGGCCGAGGGAGCUGAUGUUUGUCCGCAGACAGUUUUUCCGGGUCAUGUGGCCAGCAUGACUAAGCUGCUUCUGGUGAACCAGAGCAGCGCACGGAAACGCUGUUUACCUUCCCGCCGGAGUGGUACCUAUUUAUCUACUUGCACUUUGACGAGCUUUUGAACUGCUAGGUUGGCAGGAGCUGGGACCGAGCAACAGAAGCUCACCCCGUCGUGGGGAUUUGAAUUGCCAACCUUCUGAUCGGCAAGCCCUAGGCUCAGUGGUUUAGACCACAGCGCCACCCACGUCCCCUAUAAAAUUUAGCUUUGAGUAAAUGUCAUCGAACUAUGUCAGAGUAGAUAUGCAUAGGCUUGUGCUGUGAGAGAGACGACCGCAAACACGCUGCUACAUGAUCAACCAUCCCAUGCAAAGCCACCUCUGCAGACUAGUACUUCUGCAGCUCC
Non-coding RNA from Podarcis lilfordi (Lilford's wall lizard), 6848 nucleotides. The record is from the annotation of a GenBank genome assembly. Lineage: Eukaryota; Metazoa; Chordata; Lepidosauria; Squamata; Lacertidae.